GGAGGGAAGAACAGCCUGAAGAUUGACCUCCAAUCGGGAUCAUCAAUACCAUCUCUAGAGGACCCCGGUGGGGAGCAGCCAGUGGAUCGGUCGGACCGUCCAAGCGGCAAAGGACUGAAGAAUCUAUAACGCAAAGGAAACUUGGGCAGACGAGCUUUAUCAUGUGUUAUGGGCAUACCGAACUAUCUAAAGACUACCCACG
This 202-nucleotide long non-coding RNA is filed under the name Elaeis guineensis (African oil palm). RNAcentral describes it as "long non-coding RNA (EGUI_LNC053691)". The record is from RNAcentral. Lineage: Eukaryota; Viridiplantae; Streptophyta; Magnoliopsida; Arecales; Arecaceae.